CUCACAUAGAUUACUGUGUCGUCUGCGUACAUGUGUACAUUUGAUGAUUUGCAGAUCAUUUAUAAAUAAUGUAUAUAGUAGGAGGCUGAGAAUGGAACCUUGGGGAACACCACAUGUGACUGUGAGAGGGAGGGAGUCGCUGUCAGAAAUGGACACAUAUUGCGAGCGAUCCAAUACAUGCAAUCGAAACCAGGUUAGCUGACAAUCACCAAUACCUGAGUUUUUGCAGUAGAAUGUCGUGGUCUACUGUGUCAAAGGCCUUUGCGAAAUCAAGGAAAAUAGCUCCAGUUAGGUCUCCUUGCUCCAUGCCAGUUUGGAUGUCAUUGCAAACUUUUAAGAGGGAAGUUGUAGUGGAAAACCCGAUUGAUCAUGUUACCGGGAAACUGGCGGAGGCCAAGCACAGAGAGAUGGACACAGGUUUCUUCAGGAAGGAAGAG
This is a non-coding RNA of Pelobates cultripes (western spadefoot toad), 437 nucleotides long. The record is from the annotation of a GenBank genome assembly. Lineage: Eukaryota; Metazoa; Chordata; Amphibia; Anura; Pelobatidae.